RNAcentral lists this ribosomal RNA (655 nucleotides) under uncultured Planctomycetota bacterium. RNAcentral describes it as "bacterial SSU rRNA". It matches the Rfam family "Bacterial small subunit ribosomal RNA", at positions 8 to 696 of the family's 1533-position model. Lineage: Bacteria; Pseudomonadati; Planctomycetota. The record is from RNAcentral.
AGAGUUUGAUCAUGGCUCAGAAUGAACGUUGGCGGCGUGGAUUAGGCAUGCAAGUCGAGCGAGAAACUUUUUUUCGGAAAAGUGGACAGCGGCGAAAGGGAGAGUAACGAGUAGAAACGUACCCCGAGGCUCGGAAUAGCAGAGAGAAAUUUCUGGUAAUGCCGAAUAAUGUCUCCGGACCAAAGGUUUACCACCUGGGGAGCGGUCUGCUUUCUAUUAGCUUGUUGGUGGGGUAAUGGCCUGCCAAGGCGAAGAUGGAUACCGGGCGUGAGAGCGUGACCCGGCUCACUGGGACUGAGACACUGCCCAGACACCUACGGGUGGCUGCAGUCGAGAAUCUUCCGCAAUGGACGAAAGUCUGACGGAGCGACGCCGCGUGCUGGAUGAAGGCCUUCGGGUUGUAAACAGCUGUCAUAGGGGAGGAAAUUUUGACCGAUCCUAAGAGGAAGCACAGGCUAAGUUCGUGCCAGCAGCCGCGGUAACACGAACUGUGCGAACGUUAUUCGGAAUCACUGGGCUUAAAGGGUGCGUAGGCGGUCUUGUAGGUCAGAUGUGAAAGCCCACGGCUCAACCGUGGAAUUGCGUUUGAAACCACAAGACUUGAGUGAGAUAGAGGUAAGCGGAACUGAUGGUGGAGCGGUGAAAUGCGUUGAUA